GCCUUGCUAGUUCAAUCAGUAGAGCGUGAGACUCUUAAGUCUUGGGUAUUUCAUCCGAACUUAUAAUCUCAAGAUUGGGGGUUCGACCCCCAUGUAGAGCU
Transfer RNA from Sphaerobolus stellatus SS14, 101 nucleotides. It matches the Rfam family "tRNA". From Rfam's summary of the family: Transfer RNA (tRNA) molecules are approximately 80 nucleotides in length. The record is from Rfam. NCBI's taxonomy places the organism in Eukaryota, Fungi, Basidiomycota, Agaricomycetes, Geastrales, Sphaerobolaceae.